GAUGAACGCUGGCGGCGUGCCUAAUACAUGCAAGUCGAACGAGGAGGAGCAAUCCUUCGAGUGGCGAACGGGUGAGUAACGCGUUGGUGACCUGCCCCGAAGUGUGGGAUACCAGGCCGAAAGGCCUGCUAAUACCGCAUGGUCAACUGGGAGACUAGACACCUGGUUGUAAAGCCGAAAGGCGCUUUGGGAGGGCCUGCGUCCCAUCAGCUAGUUGGUAAGGUAGUGGCUUACCAAGGCGACGACGGGUAGGGGGCCUGAGAGGGUGAUCCCCCACACUGGCACUGAAACACGGGCCAGACACCUACGGGAGGCAG
This 317-nucleotide ribosomal RNA is filed under the name uncultured Chloroflexota bacterium. RNAcentral's name for it is "bacterial SSU rRNA". It matches the Rfam family "Bacterial small subunit ribosomal RNA", at positions 28 to 351 of the family's 1533-position model. The record is from RNAcentral. Lineage: Bacteria; Bacillati; Chloroflexota.